UCUUCCGCAAUGGACGAAAGUCUGACGGAGUAACGCCGCGUGAGUGAUGAAGGUUUUCGGAUCGUAAAGCUCUGUUGUUAGGGAAGAACNAGUGCCGUUCAAAUAGGGCGGCACCUUGACGGUACCUAACCAGAACGCCCCCGCUCACUCCGUGCCAGCAGCGGCGGUAAUACGUAGGUGGCAAGCGUUGUCCGGAAUUAUUGGGCGUAAAGGGCUCGCAGGCGGUUUCUUAAGUCUGAUGUGAAAGCCCCCGGCUCAACCGGGGAGGGUCAUUGGAAACUGGGGAACUUGAGUGCAGAAGAGGAGAGUGGAAUUCCACGUGUAGCGGUGAAAUGCGUAGAGAUGUGGAGGAACACCAGUGGCGAAGGCGACUCUCUGGUCUGUAACUGACGCUGAGGAGCGAAAGCGUGGGGAGCGAACAG
This 422-nucleotide ribosomal RNA is filed under the name uncultured bacterium. RNAcentral describes it as "bacterial SSU rRNA". It matches the Rfam family "Bacterial small subunit ribosomal RNA", at positions 362 to 775 of the family's 1533-position model. The record is from RNAcentral.